This 270-nucleotide ribosomal RNA is filed under the name uncultured archaeon. Its description in RNAcentral is "partial 16S ribosomal RNA". It matches the Rfam family "Archaeal small subunit ribosomal RNA", at positions 477 to 747 of the family's 1478-position model. The record is from RNAcentral.
CAGCACCUCAAGUGGUCAGGAUGAUUAUUGGGCCUAAAGCAUCCGUAGCCGGCGCUGUAAGUUUUCGGUUAAAUCUGUACGCUCAACGUACAGGCUGCCGGGAAUACUGCAGCGCUAGGGAGUGGGAGAGGUAGACGGUACUCGGUAGGAAGGGGUAAAAUCCUUUGAUCUAUUGAUGACCACCUGUGGCGAAGGCGGUCUACCAGAACACGUCCGACGGUGAGGGAUGAAAGCUGGGGGAGCAAACCGGAUUAGAUACCCAAGUAGUCC